Triticum urartu is the source of this 197-nucleotide non-coding RNA. The record is from RefSeq and is a predicted model, not a curated record. NCBI's taxonomy places the organism in Eukaryota, Viridiplantae, Streptophyta, Magnoliopsida, Poales, Poaceae.
CAUAGGAAGCACCUCCAGGACUAGAAUGAGCAGCUCAUGCAGCUACUCAACAUAGUGAAUGUGAGCUGCUCAUUCUGGUUCUAGAGGCGCUUCCUACGGUUAAUCUUGAAGACCUUGAGUGGGGGUGGAGGCUGGAUUGUGAGCCAGAUGCCCCAUCAACAGGGGCGGUAAAGGAGAAGAAGAUAGUUGUUUAACGG